This 110-nucleotide ribosomal RNA is filed under the name Lepisosteus oculatus (spotted gar). The record is from RNAcentral. Lineage: Eukaryota; Metazoa; Chordata; Actinopteri; Semionotiformes; Lepisosteidae.
GCCAGCAGCAAUAUCAUCCUGCAAUUCACAACACUGAAGCUCAGCAGGUGUGAGCUUGGCAAGUACCUGGAUGGGAGACCUCCUGGGAAAAACUAAAGUUGCUGCUGGAA